GGGGGAGAGAAGCAUCCCUGGCUUCUUUUCUACCCACUGUCAAAGUCCUGUUGAAAAUAGAAGGAUGUUCACAGUGUCCCCAGCCCUGAACACCCACUCUAGACUUGCUUAACACUGAGAAUGAAAUCUUGCUGCACUGUCACAGAGGCCUCUGGGAAGUUAAUGGUUUUUAUUGACCUGUAGAAAGGUCAAUAGAACCUGUAAAAAAACUGUCAUGAAAGGUUUUUCAUCACAGGGACUGUCAGGGUCUGCUUAGUUUCCUGGCUGACCAUGGCUGGCAGAGGGAGGUGGGCUUUCCUGUGUCAUCUCAGAGUUGGAUUAGCUAGCAUCUGGCUUUGACCCUCCUGCCCCACAGCUCUGGCUCUAUGGCUUGUUUAUGACUCAUUUGCCUUCUCCUGGGCUCCUGAGGCCCCCAGCUCGAAUACACAUCUGCACACACAUGCACACACUCUAAUGUGUGCAUAUGCAAGGAUACACGUGUAUACAUAUGCAAACACACAUGUGCAAACGUGUAUGCAAGCACACAUCCACUGGCCUCUCAAGCAUGCACUCACAAAGACGGGUCCAAAAAAUUAAUUGCAGUCAACUGGGAAAGGAAUGACCAUGCAAAAUUCCAUCUCACUGAGAGCAUCGAACGGAGAGCUCUGUGUGUGCUUACUCAUUUCCUCUGCGCCAUCUUUCCUCCUGGGCCUGGUUUGGGGGAGCUGUUUGUUAGUACUUCAUCCUGUUUGAAUUAAUAAAAUUAUGCCCCAUUUGAUUCAAAUGUAUGAAUUGUCAAGAUCAUUAUACUGUCAUAUAU
RNAcentral lists this long non-coding RNA (799 nucleotides) under Marmota monax (woodchuck). Lineage: Eukaryota; Metazoa; Chordata; Mammalia; Rodentia; Sciuridae. The record is from RNAcentral.